GGCACUUUGGCGGAGUGGUUAACGCGAUGCCCUGCUAUAAAUAGUAGGAAGGCAUUCCCUUCGGGGGCGUGUGUUCGAAUCACACAGGUGUCG
This 93-nucleotide transfer RNA is filed under the name Eutypa lata. Its description in RNAcentral is "tRNA-Ser". It matches the Rfam family "tRNA". Rfam says of the family: Transfer RNA (tRNA) molecules are approximately 80 nucleotides in length. Their secondary structure includes four short double-helical elements and three loops (D, anti-codon, and T loops). Further hydrogen bonds mediate the characteristic L-shaped molecular structure. tRNAs have two regions of fundamental functional importance: the anti-codon, which is responsible for specific mRNA codon recognition, and the 3' end, to which the tRNAs corresponding amino acid is attached (by aminoacyl-tRNA synthetases). tRNAs cope with the degeneracy of the genetic code in two manners: having more than one tRNA (with a specific anti-codon) for a particular amino acid; and 'wobble' base-pairing, i.e. permitting non-standard base-pairing at the 3rd anti-codon position. Lineage: Eukaryota; Fungi; Ascomycota; Sordariomycetes; Xylariales; Diatrypaceae. RNAcentral also lists the same sequence under 1 other name. The record is from RNAcentral.